CCGGGACCUGGUGGCUGCGUGGGGCGUCAUCUUCUGCGCCCCCUGGUGGCGACCGUUGCAAGCCCGUGAUCCGCUGGGUCCGCACCCCCCAGGGCGGGGCCGCGGCUGUCACCUCCGGCACGGUGAGGUGAGGACACCGAGCUCAGGGCGCCUGUGAAAGGGUCCCCUCUUGACCUUGCCUCAGCCUUGCCCCGGGAGCGCGGCCACACGGACAGCAGGGGCUCCCUGGCAAAGGCCCUUGGGCCGGGUCACACCCACAGGCGCGCAGAGGGGAAGGACAUGCCCGCUUGAGGGGGGCAGAAACCGGGCCCCGAAGAAGGAGCCGCAGGCUCAGAGCUGGGAUCGUGCAGGUGCUGGGGCCAUGGCGGCCGGGCACACACAAGGACACCGCGGUAGAGACGCCGUGCACACAGGGCCGCGGGCCUGGCCGUCUGGAGCCCGAGGGGAGCCGGUCACCCCUCUGCUCAGAACCCUGACAGCUCCCUAUCUACUCAGCAUAAAGGCCAGAGGCUUCCAGGAGAUUCAGUCCAUGGUCAGGAAUCAUGAAGUCAUAAUGGAAGGGCAUGGUGGAACAAAACCUGUGCAGCUGGAUGUUUGAGACCUUGAUAUGCUGAGCCCAAAUUAUGCAGCUAGUGCAGCUGAGAUGGCAGGAGUCCAUGAGCACAGGGACCCUGCUCGGACACAGGGCCGGCUAGCCAGCUUCUCCAUGCGUUAGUGCCCUCUGCUGUAAUGUGGGCACAAUAGCACCAGAGCACCUACGCAGGGUAGAACACAUGGAAACUGCUUAUGCUCUUCUUGUGUGAUGUUUGUCUCUGCAGCAGCUCUACACUCAGUACCUACCUCUUGGACACCUGCCCCCCACUAGCAGCCCUGCCUGGCAAGGUAGCAGGGGUGGCAGUGCCUGUUAGGGUCAGGGGAGCAGGAGGAGGGCCGGCUGAAACCCAGGCGCACUGGGCCAUGCUCGCCGCCAGGUAAGAACCCAUCCCACCUACCUGCCAGGGAAACUGAGGCCCUGAGUGUCAUGGCUCAGGCCAAAUGAGGCUGUCCCUCCUGCUGGUGGGUGCCCUCCAAACUGCCCACUCUGAAGUCCCCUCCCAGAGGUCCUGCAUCCCCACCCUUACUCACUGCUGCCCACUCGGGACUCAGAGUGACUCUGGGUGGCCUUCCAGGUCCCUGGGGCUCCAGGUGCUGCCCCUCGGCCCAGCCUUAAAGCAACAUCGUGACUGGACUGGCUGGCAUGUGGGUUCCGGGGCCUGUAGUGGGGUGGGGGACGGGAAGUGGCGAGAACCCUGCAGUCGACUGAGAUCCACUCCCACUUCCCCGGGAAUGGAGAUGCUUCUGAGAGCCAUUGGUGUUCAGCACAGAGGGCUCUGGAAGGCCCGAGCCCAGAUCUCCUCCCUCCCAUUUUGCAGGAAGGGAAGCUGAGCCCAAAGAGGGCAGGAAAGCCACCUGUCCAAGGGCUCUCUGUGUCCUGCGCUGACAUAAGGCUUUUUCCUCCUGGCAGGGCUCUGCUGGCGAGGGGGCCCUGGGCCUCCCGGACCCACCUCGGGCAGGCAGGUGGUCUCUGCAAUGAUGACCAACACUGACAAGGCCCCUCUGGUCCCUCCACUGAGGUCACCACACCAGCUGGAGUGACCACGCCUGCAGUGUGGGACCCGACCUCUCUGUCCCAGUUCUCCUGUGUCAAAGGCCUCAGUAUCCAAGUGACACAAGUUGAGCAUCUGGGUGAAGCCAGUGUUUGUGGACAGGGCAUUUCUGGGCCACCUUAGACUCGCCUACUUUCUGCUGUGGUUUUCAAGUUUCCUAGAAGAUAUUUUCACUCACCCUGUGAGGGAGAUGCCGGCAAUAAUGCGCAAGACAUUGAACAACGAAAGGAGACGUUGUCCCACGGAGGGAGGUCUGGACUGGACUGUGGUGCCCACCGCACACCCUUGCCAGGCUCCCUCCACUAAACUGUCAUCCUGGCUGGUGUAGCCACGCACUCAGCAGGCAGGAGCAAGAGCCCAAGUGUCAAGCCUGUCUGUGUUUAUGGUUAUUUGUAAUCCCACCAGUGUUCUUAUCCUGCUCCGGAGGGCUGGAUUAAUCAGACUGGAAACGUGAUCGGUCAUGAGCUCAGCCCUGUCCCGUCCACCCUAUAACCUGACUCCAGGCACACUGGGCUUUUCUUCUCCCCUUAGCAGUCCUGACAUCCCCUCGGGGCUGUGAAAUUUCCAUCACUUUCAUACUCCUCUUUCACCUGAUGACCCACACACCCCCAGUAGCUUCUUUCUCUUUCUGUCAAGCAGAGAUCAUUACACCUGUGUAGUUCCCUGCCACUUUGCCCCUAAAAUAGUAAAGGGGUGGGGAGGGUACACGCAGCUUCCUUUUCUCCACUGCCUGCCAAGGAGGGCACUCCUUUCCUAGAAGAAAUAUACAGCCCACCCCCUUCCUCUACAAUGCCCUGGGGACGUCUCUGACUCCACCCCACUGCGAUCAGAUGUCCACUGUUUACGCUAGACUGGGCAGAACCUGCUUUGGCCCUUCCUACAAUGUCCUAGCUAAUCAGGCUCACUCCGUGACUUUAGUCAUUAUUGCUAAGGUGAUAAGGCCUCAUCUCCAGGCUAGAAUCUCUUCCCGAACCUCAAAUCCAUGCCCCAGGAUUCCCCACACUACACAGCCCCACCCUGAGCAUCCCCCUGAGGUGCUGGCCCCCAUCUUUCCCCUUUCCCUCCCCUAAUUAAUAGCCCUGAUGCAGCCUUGGAAGUCUGCUUCACAUCCAGCGUGUCUCUUCCACACCAAGGCUUCCAUUUCUGGUCCAGGCCUCCUCCUCUUUCCCCAGGCCACCCUGACAGCCCCUCACCCAGUUCCUGGUGCUAGAGCAUUCAAUCCCAUCACACCAUCUCCCUCUGCUUAAGAUCUCUUAAUUUGUCUGCAACUCAACUUGAUUAAAGUUAUGCAAGAAUAAAGUUAGUACAUUAGACUAUCAGAUAACCAUGAAAAGGGCAGGGAUGAAGGCCAGGGUACCUUUACUCAAAUAGCACCACAAUUCUCAUGUUUUGCUGUGUGUGUGUGUGUGUGUGUGUUUACGUUUUGCUUUGCUUUGUGCUAUUAGGGAUGGAACCCAGGGCCUUGUAUAUGCUAGGCAACCACCCUAUCACCAAGCCACACUCGCAGCCUGCACUGGAAAUUUUGUUUCUCCUUUUCCCCGAUGAAUCUUCUUCACUCUCUCCUAAUUCAUACCCAUUUCCUCCAGGGAACAGGCAACCUGUCUACUCACCACUCCCAAGCUUUAUAUUCAUUGUGUUUGUCUAGCUGUUAUCCUCCAUACCAGCUACCACCUUUGGCUCUAGGUUAGAAAAAAAAAAAUUCCAGUUACAUUUGCUUGCAUGAGGACUAAUCAGUUACACCAGGUAGUGGGGGAAGUCAGUGGAAAAAAGACAAAGAGCUGCUGCUUCCAGGCCUCUGAGAAGAGCUGCCACAGUCAGGCUGGGCAGACAGGGCAGAAAGGCCAGGGUUAGGGUUAGGGUCAGGAUUAGGGUUAGGAUCAGGAUUAGGCACCAGAUUCAACUUGGUGCCUUUUUCCUAAGAAGAGAAAACAGACCAAACUUGGUGCUCAAACGCAAACCUUUCCUGGGAGCUUCAUUCAAGGUGAAGCCAUCACACGGUCUUUGUCCUGGAGGCCCAGUCAUCAAGUAGACAGCGCUUGCUAUUAUGGCUUUGCAAAGCUGCCAAGUCCAGGAAGAUUGUGGAAGCUUUCUGACUCUGCUUCCCGUACAUUUCUAAGUUGGUUGCAGGCCAGGGCUUCCACUGCCCAGGUGCAGCCAGCCUAAUGCUAGGGUGUUGACAGGUGCCAGGCAGGUAUGAGAGAGAGCCUUGUUCUGCCACAGAGCACUGAAGUAUCUGUUCUGAACUCCUGUCACCUUGACUGAUGCUUAGAACACUUAGGACUCAGCUCCAGACUGGUCGCACCUUGGGACUUCACUCUCAUUCUCAAUGCCGGCUCCUCCAGGCUCUGUGCACCUGAGGACAGCUGUUGCCUAUGUAGCCUUUGCCUCUCAGCAGCCAGCCUGGGCCCAUGGGGACUGGGAGCUCUGUGACACCAACUUGAUGUGCUACAUAGCUUGGGCCCGGGGGCCUCUGAUUAAAAAAAAAAAAAAUACAGUGUUGCUUCCAUGUGCCCGUACUUGAUCAUCCCCAUUUCAAAUUGGAGUAAAACUGAGGUUCUAAGAGGUUAAGU
Molecule: long non-coding RNA, 4216 nt
Organism: Heterocephalus glaber (naked mole-rat)
Lineage: Eukaryota; Metazoa; Chordata; Mammalia; Rodentia; Bathyergidae
Source: Ensembl